AGAACUUGGGAUUGAUUUCCCAUUUGGAUUUGGGAAACCUGGGUGUUGCCAGGAGGGGCUCGAAAUUGGUUAUUGUUGAGGUGCAACUCUGGCAAGUUGAGCUUGGCUUCAGGGCCGUAUAGUUUACGAGCAGCAGCAUCAUAAGCCAUGGCAGCUUCGUGAGAGGUGUCGAAGGUACCAAGCCAGAGACGGGCACCACGAUUGGGUUCUCGAAUUUCGGCUACCCAUUUGCCCCAAGUUCUCUGGCGGACACCCUUAUAAGUGCAGAGCGCAUUCUCCGGUCCUCCUUUGCCUCUCAUGCACCCUUUCCUUGAACUAGCCUGUGCAGGCUUCCUGAUGGGUUUUUUCUCUCCGAGAGGAGUCAUGAUUGAUUUUGACAUAUUAAAA
Molecule: unclassified non-coding RNA, 387 nt
Filed under: Hevea brasiliensis (rubber tree)
Lineage: Eukaryota; Viridiplantae; Streptophyta; Magnoliopsida; Malpighiales; Euphorbiaceae
Source: RNAcentral